RNAcentral lists this ribosomal RNA (497 nucleotides) under uncultured bacterium. Its description in RNAcentral is "bacterial SSU rRNA". It matches the Rfam family "Bacterial small subunit ribosomal RNA", at positions 9 to 507 of the family's 1533-position model. The record is from RNAcentral.
GAGUUUGAUCAUGGCUCAGGAUGAACGCUAGCGGGAGGCCUAACACAUGCAAGCCGAGCGGUAGAGAUUCUUCGGAAUCUUGAGAGCGGCGUACGGGUGCGGAACACGUGUGCAACCUACCUUUAUCUGGAGGAUAGCCUUUCGAAAGGAAGAUUAAUACUCCAUAAUAUAUUGAUUGGCAUCAAUUGAUAUUGAAAGCUCCGGCGGAUAGAGAUGGGCACGCGCAAGAUUAGUUAGUUGGUGAGGUAACGGCUCACCAAGACGAUGAUCUUUAGGGGCCUGAGAGGGUGAUCCCCCACACUGGUACUGAGACACGGACCAGACUCCUACGGGAGGCAGCAGUGAGGAAUAUUGGUCAAUGGGUGCAAGCCUGAACCAGCCAUCCCGCGUGAAGGACGACUGCCCUAUGGGUUGUAAACUUCUUUUGUAUAGGGAUAAACCUACCCUCGUGAGGGUAGCUGAAGGUACUAUACGAAUAAGCACCGGCUAACUCCGUG